AUUUAUAUAGUUUAAACAAAACAUUACACUUUCACUGUAAAGACAAAAGAAAAUUUUUAUAAAUA
This 65-nucleotide transfer RNA is filed under the name Rhynchotermes nasutissimus. RNAcentral describes it as "tRNA-Glu". It matches the Rfam family "tRNA". Rfam says of the family: Transfer RNA (tRNA) molecules are approximately 80 nucleotides in length. Their secondary structure includes four short double-helical elements and three loops (D, anti-codon, and T loops). Lineage: Eukaryota; Metazoa; Arthropoda; Insecta; Blattodea; Termitidae. The record is from RNAcentral.